GGGAGGGCAAAGAGCCACUGUGACAGCCUUUUUGGGUAUCUGCACUUGGUGGCUCCUGAAUUCUUGUCCAGUGCCCAAGAAGAAUGAGGUCAUGCAGACAAAUCAAAGGAUGUCAAGUCACCUCUUUCUGACGUCCAGCCACUGUCUCUGAAGUCAAGUCACCUCUUUCUGAUGUCCAGCUGCUUCUCUGAAGUCAAGUCACCUCUCCCUGUGAUCCAGCCACUUCUCUGAAGUCAAGUCACCUCUCCCCGACAUCCAGCCAUGUCUCUGAAGUCAGGAACUUACAGUCCUGUUUAAAGACACGAAGAGAAAAACGAGAUGCCAAACCACAGUGGGAGUUUAGAGAAGACUGUGAUGAGAGUUGGAGCAUUCUUGGGGAGUCUUUGCUGCAGAGAUGGGACUUUAUGCAUCAGUACAUUCUUAAAGUGUCUACGCUGCCCCGGGAUGCUGAGCCCCUGGACACCACAGGUGGCAUUUCAGCUAUGAGUGAGGGGGGGCAUUUGGAAGGGGAGCCCCGAAGGGGAAGACAAUGGCUCAGAGAGAAUGAAGUCAGCACUUCCCAGCCUCUGUGUGCUGCGGUCCAAGGCUUCGGCCGGGAGCACUGCAGAGCAAAAGUUCUGAGAGCCACGGCUCAGGCUUAACUGGCCAGAGCGAGCUUGGCAGCUGCUCUCGUCCCAGCAGGCUUUGCUCUCUGAGGCAGUCAUUCCCACCACACAAAGGCAGUUCUGUGCCUCCCAAAGGUGCUUGGGGCAGGAAUGAAGAGCGGAACAGCCCCCAUCAAUCCAAUAGGAUUGUCGUUUUACGCUGGCGUGGAGCCUCAGACAUCAAAAGGGCUGGAGAGUGAAGCCACGUGUGAGCCGUGAAGUUGGUGACCCUGAGGCACAGAAAGCUGAGGGAAUUUGUUCGAAGUCACACAGCUGGGUCCUUGCAGAUGUAAUCGGGUGAAGAUGGGUUCAUAUUGGAUUGGAGUGAGUCAUAAUCCACUGUGACUGGUGUCUUUAAAAGAAAAGGACACACGGAAAUUCAGAGACAGAAAGACCCACAGGGAGAAUGCCAUGUGAUGACAGAGGCAGAGACUGGAGUGAUGGGUCUAUAGCCAACGGACACCAAAGACUCUCAUCCACCAGAAGCUGGAAGAGGCAAGAAGUGGAAAAGCAUUUGGGAGGAAGUGGAACCAAAGCAGAUCCUAUCCAAGGUGAAUGGCAAGCAGCUAUAUGAGGAUGGCCUUGCUCCCAGCCGGAUCUCCCAUCCUCAAGAAGGCCAGCCCAGGCUUCAUCACACAGCAGUGGAAGAGUUCUGAUUUAAGAGAAGAAGAGUGGAAGCUGCAGGUCCUGUUGAGACCUGGACUAGGAAGACACACAAUGCCACUUCUGCCACAUUCUAGUUGUCAUUUCUGGUUGUGAAAGCAAGUCCCAGGGCCAGUCAAGAUUCAAGGAAAGGGUAAAUAAACUCCAUUACUUGAUGGGUGCAGCCAAAAAAAGUCA
This 1484-nucleotide long non-coding RNA is filed under the name Homo sapiens (human). RNAcentral's name for it is "HSALNT0345547". Lineage: Eukaryota; Metazoa; Chordata; Mammalia; Primates; Hominidae. The record is from RNAcentral.